Chelonia mydas (Green sea turtle) is the source of this 1256-nucleotide long non-coding RNA. RefSeq lists it as uncharacterized. The record is from RefSeq and is a predicted model, not a curated record. Lineage: Eukaryota; Metazoa; Chordata; Testudines; Cheloniidae. The transcript is spliced from 4 exons.
UCUGCUCUGCCCAGGACAGAAGUUGAUUUUCAUUCUUGGGGUUGGGCUGAUGUGUUCUUUCUAGUUUAUUUAUUAAAGGCCCCUUAGACAUGCUGACUGUCAAGACCAGAAUAGAUCUGUUACACAUGGAAGGAAGAGUGCUUCAAGAGCUCCAUAAAUCACUGUGUUCCAGCCAGCGGAUGGGUCUCUUUUAGGUACCUAUUCCCCGGAUUGAAUCACGUCCUCAACGAGCCCUCUCCAUGAUCCCCUGCUAGCUUCUGACAUAUGAAUCACGCUGCCUGGUUAACUAAUGGAUGGACCCCUUCAAAAAAGUCUGGUUCUCUACAUUUACCAGUUGAGGGAAGGGACAAUAGAUAAUAGGCACUGGACCUCGCAACAGAUGUGAUAGGAUGAGAUCCAGAGGGGAUAACAGGAAUUAGGGGGUAGGAUUCACAUGAACUCUGGAUCACUGACACACGUGUACAUGAGAUCAGCAUUCUCAGUAGGUUGCCCUAAGAAUUGGAUUUUUGUUUCUGUGACACAAUAAGCAGGGGAGCCAAGCACUGAGGAUUAUGCACCAUGCUGCAUCCAUAAAGGGUCCAUAUGUGUCUGAUUUCUCCUGGAGGCCUCAGCAGAGGAUAUGAGAAGAGAAUUCCAGGGGGAGGGAGAUGACCUUUGAGCUCAGCUUCCUAUCACGCACUCUGGCGCUGCCAGUGUCCAUGCUUCGUCCAAUACCCUCCAUUCGUGACUCAGAGAGAAGCAGAGAAGGAAGAGGUAGCUGAGUUCCGCAAUCAGAGGCAUGGCUGCAGGUAUGAGCUACUGGGACUCAGGAAUGAUCUUCCACUUGGCACGCUGCCUGUCUGGCUUCACUCCCAUCACAGAGAUAGGGGCACUGCCUCCCCUCCAGCCAUUUUAUUCCCAAUACUGCCUGCCUCCUUCCUGGCAGGAGAAGGGAUAAAGGGUCGCAGAUGUUCUUGGAGCAUGAACUGGACUGCAGUUUGCCACUCAGCUCCCUAAAGGGUGAAAACCUGGAGCCACUGGAGCCAAGAUUUUACCCAUGAUCUUCAUGCCUUCUUCCACAUUGCCCCCUAUCCUUGGAAUGGUCAUCAUGUUUUCAUGAAUCACAUUAUCCUGCCUCUUCUUCAAAUGUCUCAACAUUCUGCUCUUCUACAACACCUUUUAAAAGUGAACCCUGCAAAAUUCCAACACCAACCUGAAGUGCCUGAUUUAUUGAUUUUUUUAGCUGGGUGUGAAAUAACAAAUAUUAAGUUCCUUGG